AUACGGAGGACGCGAGCGUUAUCCGGAUUCAUUGGGUUUAAAGGGUGCGCAGGCGGCCGUGCAAGUCAGCGGUGAAAGCCCGGGGCUCAACCCCGGAAGUGCCGUUGAUACUGCAUGGCUGGAAUGCGGUCGAGGCGGGCGGAACGUGGCGUGUAGCGGGGAAAUGCGUAGAUAUGCCACAGAACGCCGAUAGCGGAGGCAGCUCGCCAGGCCUGCAUUGACGCUCGGGCACGAAAGCGUGGGGAUCGAACAGGAUUAGAUACCCUGGUAGUCCACGCCGUAAACGAUGGGCGCUCGUCGUCGGCGGCAGACAGUCGGCGGCCAAGCGAAAGCGAUAAGCGCCCCACCUGGGGAGUACGGUCGCAAGGCUGAAACUCAAAUGAAUUGACGGGG
This 393-nucleotide ribosomal RNA is filed under the name uncultured bacterium. Its description in RNAcentral is "partial 16S ribosomal RNA". It matches the Rfam family "Bacterial small subunit ribosomal RNA", at positions 523 to 918 of the family's 1533-position model. The record is from RNAcentral.